UUUUUUUUUUUCUUUUAAGCUAAGUGUAAACUUAUAUAAGCUCAAAAAUCGCACUCCUGGGCAUUUAUUCCAGGGAAAUGAAAACUAUAUCCACAUAGGACUUACCCACGCUUGAUCACAGUAGCUUAAUUUGUAACAGUCAAAAACUCGGAACAACCAAAAUGUCCUUUAAUGGGUGAAUGGUUAAUUACACUUCAGCAUAUCCAGACCAUGGAAUGCUACUCAGAAAUAAAAAAGAACUACUGAUCCAUGCAACAAGUUGAAUGGAUCUCAAAGGCAUUAUACUGAGUGAAAAAAGCCAAUAUCCAAAAGUCAUAUACUGAAUGAUUCCAUUUAUAUAACAUUCUCAAAAAUACAUAACUACAAAGACGGAAAACACACACAUAGUCGUUAGGGGUUAGGGAGGUGUGUUUGUAUAUGUGUGUGUAAAGAAGUAUGGAAAGGGAGACUUUGUGAUAUGGAAUGGUAUCCUGACUGUGGUGGUAGUUACAUGAAACUACUCACGAGAUAAAGUAACAUAUAUAUGUCAUUACACACACACAUUGUCACAGUGUUUACUUCCUGGGUUUGAUACUGUACUAUAAUUAUAGGACAUAACCAUGGGGGUAGGGGUCCUGGGAGACAGUACAUGGCAUUUCUGUUACCUUUGUAAGUUCCUAUGAAUCUAUAAUUUCAGAUUAAAAAGUGAAAAAUAAAAAAGCUUUGUCCAGGAUGUGGGGGGGAUGUGGGGGGAACACACAAUUUGUUUCCCAAAUAAGUAAAAAAUUAUUUUAAAAAUAACACAGAUUUAAAAACUAACAGGUGAAACUACAAUAGAAAUCAACAUGUUUGUCAGAUUAGGAGAUAUUUAAUGUGGAGAAAUAGGCUUUAACAUUUCUCAUAUAUUGAUAUUGAGAAAAUAACUGAAGACUCAAACUUUGGCCUCAACAUCAUAAACAUAGGGACUAUGUUUUCUGAGUUGCUAUAAGAUUCUAAAAUUAAACUUUGUUUUGAAAAAAAAAUUUCUUUUUUAUGGUUCAGAAUCUUGCAUGGAUUGAAAUAUGUUUUUAAAAUAGUACUGGAGACAAUAAGGCAUUAACAUAUGAACUUACUCAUGCUUAUGAAGAUACCAAGGAAGUGUAUGAGAUUAGAAAUUAAAAAGACAUUUUAAUACAUUCAUAGUGUUCUCUGAAACGGUUUCUCAAAACUAUUUUCAAGGAAAAAUUGCAUAUAACUCAAAUGGAACAAUUCCAGAAUUUUAAUGAUUUCCUACUCCAGAUUGAAAUGCUUUAAACUUAUUUUAACAAGAAAUUAAAAGAAAAAAAUUAGCAUCAAAGAAAAAGGAUUUGGGGCAGAACUGACUUCUUGAUCUACCGAACUUAAAAGGAAUGAAUCAUUUUUUUCUUUUUAAGUUCCCCAGUUUCUAUGUAACUGACUUAGAAGAACAUGAUUCUGUGAUCUCAUAUUUGACACUUCCUAAGUGUUCCUCAUUCAUUCUAUAUUUUAAAUGACCAUUCUAACAGAGAAGUGUGUUAAGUCAGUGGCAAAGUAUUAAAAACGUGUGCCUUGCAAAUUUAAGUUCCGUUUUAAGUAUGGAAAGCUGUUCUAGAGUUGGUGAUGCAAAAAAAGUAAUUUUCCUACCCUCUGGCCUAUCUCAGAAUAUACCGGGCCAAUUUAGGAUAUCUUCCCCUUCUUGCCUUUCUCUACAUGUGUCACUAGGGUACAGGCUGUUAUGGCACUUCUGGGAUUGAAAGCAAAGAUAAUGAAAAAGUUAGGUGUGCAGUGUAAUAUGAAAUCCCAAUUUCUACAUACAGCUACUCUAUUAUUUGUUUGGCCUUGGGAAUGAAACUUUUGGUAGACAGUACAACCCAAGAAUGGAUCCAAUAGAACUUUUGGGAGCAAUGAUCCACUAUGCUUUGCUACCAAGAAAGAGGAGUUUCACAGCGGGUUUUAUCAUCAGAAGGGACUUAUGAGACCCAUCUGGUCCAAUUCAUUUUAUUUCAGGAUGACAGAGUAUCCUAAUUGAUCUAGUACUAAAGGUUCCGCCAGUAUCUAUAUUAUGGCCUCUACUUUGUAGAAGAGAGACCAAGCUUAAUCAUUAGACCUAGUGGCUGGGAUGUUACUUGGGAACUCUGACUUCCCUUUUAGAGCUGAAUAUUUCCAUUAUUAUCUUCCGUAGAUGGACACCAGGGAUCCUCUCCCCAGAAUAAGAUGUUAAAAAGGAUAAAAGAGAGAUAAAGCAAGGCAGGUUAGCAGAGAUGUAAAAGAGCAUACCAAAUUAAUGGGAUGUCUGGGUAGCUCAGUGGUUGAGUGUCUGCCUUUGGCUCAGGUCGUGAUCCUGGGGUCCUGCUAUCGAGUCUCACAUAGGCUCCCCUUGAAGAGUCUGCUUCUCCUUCUGCCUCUAUCUCUGCCUCUUUCGCUGAGUCUCUCAUAAAUAAACAAAAAUCUUUUAAAAAAACCAGCAUAUCAAAUUAAAAAGAACUUUUUCCUAUAUGGAUAUCAUAUCUUCCUGAUUUUGAACACGUUUUCAAAUAACACAUUUUCUAUAUAAAUAGAACAAAACUGCAUCUCUGUUACAAACACUAUUAAUUAACUUAGAAAUCUGCUUUUAUUCUGUCUUCCAAAGCGAGUCUGUAUAGCAAGAAACUAUUUCUCAGCAUCUACAAUCAGGACAGCUAUAGAAACAAGUCUGGCACAGCUGACAAAUUCUUUCUCCAUUGAUCUUUAUAAAGCAUAAGUCAUGUUAAUUAAAUAACCUAUAAUUAGUAUCAGUGUACAAAAUCUUUGCCAUAUCAUGUUGAUAUGUUACAGAAAAUGUUAGCAUUUUCUGCACAAUGGUUUCUAAAGAUGGAAGCAUCAUAUGGAGAAUAUAGCUAGAGCAACUGCUAUAAUUUGAAUAAUGUGAAAUAUAUAUAAAGAAAAUGGAGGAAAAAAAAAUCCCAAAUGUUACUUUUGGUUCCAAAUGGUAACAUGACUUCUUUUAUCUCCUUUCUUUACCCAAAUCUUGUUAAAAUGAGAAUAAGAUAAUAAAAAUGGCCAGAAGAACAAGAGAGAGACAAAGCAGAGGAAUGAGCAGUAGCUACCCUAACAGGACAGUGGAAAUUACAUCUAAGUGUGUGCUGGAAGAUCCCAGUGAUAAGGGAGUGGAUUUUCCUAGCAAUGCCCCCAAAGAGACAGGCCACUGGAGCAGGAUGGGAGCCUGGGCUGGGGGUGGUGGUGGUGGGGGGGGCUAGAAACCAAGAUGAAAAUAUAGAGCCUGUGAAACUCCAAACACAGUACUGCUGGGCCCCUGAGACCCUCACCCUGAUAGGGCAUGGAGGCCCCCACCCCCACCCUACUUCUGCCAGCACCCACAGGACUCCAGGUGGACAGCAUGGGCCAAAAGCAAGACUGACUGGUGCCAAGUGUUGGGGUCUUUGUCUUUUACUCCCUCUGCCUAGCUGUCAAUGCCAGCAGCCAGACACAAAAUGCUUUCUGGGAAGGACUUUUUCCUUUGGCAGAAACUCAUCAGCCCAGGUAGGGGUGCAUCCAUGCACAUGCAUGCACAUAUGCACUGGAGCAGAGGGAAAGGGGGCACCUCCUGGAACUUUAGGGGGUUCCAAUUUGGAGAAAGCUAGCUCAGCAUAGGAUUCAUAUACAGUACAUUCCACCAUCCACAGGUCCCACCUUCUCAUACUGAGAUCUUGAUCAGAUUUCUCAGUAACUCCCUUUUAAAUGGUAAUAGGCAGACAAGCAUCUAACUUGAAAGCCAGAGACCCAAAAAAUCAAACAGAAAAAAGGAACCUGGAGGAAAACAAGAUAUCCAAAGGACAUUUUUCUUCAAAAACUUCAAAAGGCCUAGGAAAUUGUCUAGUGAAGUAAGUAAAGCUAUUGUAGCCCUAAAAUAAAAACCAAAUGCUCCUUAAAAAAAAAAAGGCAAAAUAAGAGUUGAAAAUUAAAUAUUUAAUCGAAACAAAGAUUCCAUAGGAGGAUUUGAAGGAAAAUCAAGGAACUCUCGCAGAAGGUAGAGCAAAAAUCAAACAACAGAAUUAGGAAAUAAUUAUGAAAAAAGUGAUAAAAAGGAGGUUCCAUCCAGAAGGUCCAAUGUUCAAGUAAUAAACAUUCUAGGCAAAGAGAACAGAGGUUAAAGCAGGGAAGAAAUUAUUUAAGAAAGAAUACUAAAAAGUCACGGGUAUCCAGAGCUGGGAAGAGCAGUCUAAAAAAAAAAAAACAAAAACAAAAACAAAAA
RNAcentral lists this long non-coding RNA (4207 nucleotides) under Canis lupus familiaris (dog). Its description in RNAcentral is "lncRNA (ENSCAFG00000054953.1)". Lineage: Eukaryota; Metazoa; Chordata; Mammalia; Carnivora; Canidae. The record is from RNAcentral.